This is a long non-coding RNA of Dreissena polymorpha, 2102 nucleotides long. RefSeq lists it as uncharacterized. Lineage: Eukaryota; Metazoa; Mollusca; Bivalvia; Myida; Dreissenidae. The record is from RefSeq and is a predicted model, not a curated record. The transcript has 3 exons.
AUAGACGUUGUACUUAAGUGUGUAUUUACAUAUGGUUGCAGGAUUAAACAUGUUGUAACAUUCAUCUAUUGCAAGGUUGAGGUUUAGAAGUGUGUUUAAUUUAGUUACUGAGUGUCUCUAUAUAAAUAUUCAUUAUAUUCACAGAGAUGGGAUCAAAAUAAUAGUGGAUACAUAGCUUUUCAAUUAUAGAACAAUUCAAAAUAUCUAUUUCAAAAUGGCGACUUCUAUAGGUUCAGUUCAUAACAGUUCAGAUUUAGUGAAGGACUAUGUUUGUGGAGCCUGCGAAAGUAAAAGUAUUCAAGAAAUUGCUGAUUAUUUUUGUGCAUCCUGCAUGAAGUUUUUUUGCGGAAAGUGCCUUUUUCAACAUAAUCAGUUAUAUGCAAAUCAUUCCAAAUACGGAAGAGAAGAAACAAAUAAAUGGCCUCUUACAAAGACAAUGGAGGAUUUUCUUCUUAAAUGCGAUGUCCACAAGGACAAGAAACUGAAAAUGUUUUGCCAGGAUCACAGUCAGCUGUGUUGCACUGAUUGUGCUUUUCUAAACCACAGCAAGUGCACUGAUGUGGCUCUAAUUACUGAUUCAGUCAAAACGAUGUCAGUGGAUAUGCAACAGCUGUCAAACAGUCUUGAAACUAUUCUCGAUGAACUUAAUAAGUUAAAAAAAUGCACGAGAGUCUACAAUUGAGUCUGUAGAGUUAUCAUGGAAUGAAAAACUGCAAGAAAUCCAAGAUCUGCGAAAGAAAUUAAAUGCUGCUCUGGAUGAAUUAGAAAAAAACAACCUUGAAAGAACUGGAUGAAAUUAGGGCCACAUUGCAAACCUCUCUCAAGAAAGAUGUUGACAACUGCACCAGACUGAAGGAUGAACUGAAACAAAUCAGUGAAGCUGUAAAUGCCCUUUGUGAUAAAAGCAAGAAAGAAAUUGAGUUCAUAGCCAACAGAAAAUGUCUGGACAAAAUACAGGAGUCUGAGGCAUAUCUUAAGGAGAACCCUGUGAAGUUGCAGAGGUCACUGAUAUUCCAGGCAAACAUGGACAUUGAGAAGUACCUGACUCAGCAGUCUAGUCUAGGGAGGAUUAUAGACAAUAUGCAGUCUCUCACAAUCAAGAUGAAUUUAGACCAGGUGAUGACUGUGAAGAGGAAAUUGGAGUAUAGUGUGAGCAUAUCAAGUGACACACAGACUUGCAGAAUUAGUGGCAUUUGCUGCCUGCCUAGUGGCCAGGUCAUUGUUACAGAUAUGGAUAGUCGGAAAGUGAAGCUGUUAGAUCAGCAUUGCGCUGUGUCCAGUCACUGUGAUGUGUCUGGUGCUCCAUAUGACAUUUGCCAAAUCACAUCCAGUGAGGUGGCUGUAACUGUUAAUUAAGAUGUCCAGUUUAUCUCUGUCAGCAAUGGGCAGCUGGUUAGUUGGAGGAAGUUCCAGUUACCGCAUGAGGCUCGAGGUAUUGCCAUCCAUCAGGGAGCAUUGUUUGUCAUCUCUGGCACUGCUCUGUACCGCUACUCUUUGACUGGAUCACUUGUGAAAAAGCUUAAUGAGGAUGCAAGUUGCUGUUAUACAGUGUUUAAGUGUGCAGCGAGUCCUGCUGGGGACAGGAUCUAUGUCACCAACAGCGUCAUGCACAAGCUCAUCACCCUGGCUACAGAUGACACCCUGGUAUCCACUAUCAAGGACCCUGAACUACAAGACCCAUGGGGUGUGUAUGUAACACCUGCAGGACAAGUGUUUGUCUGCGGAUGCAGAUCAAAUACUGUCAUACAGGUGGAUCUAGAGGGAAGAAAGAAACUGGCAACUCUGGUGUCAUCUAAAGAUGGAGUACUCAAGUCAGUGUCUGUCUGCUACAACACCAAGACUGACGGGAUAAUUGUGGGACUACAUAAUAACAAUACAAUCAAUGUUAUGGAAUUGCAAUAGCUCUUCCAGUGGACAAAAACCAUUCAUAUAAACUAGAUUUUAAAUGUAUUUCCAUGUUUUCUUCGAAGGGCAAAUUCAGUCAAAACUUCAUAAAUAGGUUAGAUAAACAACAACUUAUUUAUACAGUUCAUAUUUCUAUGUAAAUAAAUGUACAAAAUUUAAUUUUAUUUAAAAAAUGGGUUGCAUAAAAACUCAUAACA